RNAcentral lists this long non-coding RNA (2443 nucleotides) under Brassica napus (rape). RNAcentral describes it as "long non-coding RNA (BNAP_LNC012552)". The record is from RNAcentral. Lineage: Eukaryota; Viridiplantae; Streptophyta; Magnoliopsida; Brassicales; Brassicaceae.
AGCCAAAUGACAGCAUCUUACACACUAGAUGCCAAACACAUUGUCUGCGCAAGCGAAGAUUCACAGGUUUACAUGUGGAAACACGAGGAGCCACGAGUAGGACUAACCGGUAGAAAAACCAUCGCCAUGUGUACUUCUUUCGAAACCUUCCCUUGCAAAGACGUCUCCGUGGCAAUACCUUGGCAUGGCGUUGUUAAAGGAGAACCACCACCCGCACAAACCCAACCGAAGAAAAACCCGAAGAAACCCUCAACCACUACUACACAAGAAAACGCAACCGCAGGUAAAAAAUCCGGCCUCCCACCGUUACCUAAGAAAAACAACGACAACACGGAGAGUGUAGCAACAGAAGAACAUCAAGAAGAUGAACCCACGACACAAGUUCCGCAAAACGAAACAGAGAACAUUGCUGGAGAGACAAUAAAGCCAGGGGAUUCGCCUUCUAUAUCGAUCUCAUCUCGGAUAUCUUCAUGGUCUUGGUUUGAUGGUAGCGGCAGUCAUGGAACUCAUUUGGCUCAACCAACGGCUUGGGGAAUGGUGAUCGUUACAGCCACGAUCGGUGGUCAAAUCCGGGCUUACCAGAACUUCGGUUUGCCACGCAGAGUCAGUCGUCAGGGCUCUCUGUUUUGACGCAGUGUACAUGCAUACUUACGUCUAUUUAUAGCUCCUAAGAAGUUCUUGUAUAGUCUAUCGAGUUUAACAUGUAAUAUUGUAUAGUCACAUAUCAAAGAAGAAAACUUGGUAUAACAAAAUUAUUGAGUCAGCUUGACACCCAUUCAAGAAGGUGAUGAUGCAGCAGAAGUGCCACCGGAGAAGAAGAAAAAGGGGAAAGCUCCAUCGAUUAGAAAAGGAAAUCAGAUCCCAGAUUAUGUCCAUGCGCCUGAAACUGUCUUCUCAUUAUCUGAUAAACCCAUAUGCAGUUUCACUGGCCAUUUGGAUGAUGUUCUGGACUUGUCCUGGUCUCGGUCACAGGUUAGCUUAUGUUCCUUUCUUCCCAACAUUGAUGCAAUCAUACAUGAAUUGCUAUUUGACGAACUUAACCAUGCCUUCUCAUGCAGCUAUUGCUUUCAUCUUCCAAGGACAAAACCGUGCGGUUAUGGGAUAUCGAAACUCAAAGCUGUCUAAAACUCUUUGCCCACAAUGACUAUGGUGAGGAAAGAAAUGUCGCUUGAUACUCAUAAUGCUAAUUUUCAUGUUGUUCUCGGAGAUUCAUGCCUUACUCUCUGGUUUUCAGUUACUUGCGUACAGUUUAAUCCAUUGGAUGAAGAUUACUUCAUAAGUGGCUCACUUGAUGCCAAGAUCCGUAUAUGGAACGUAUCGAACCGUCAAGUAGUGGAGUGGACUGAUCUCAAUGAAAUGGUUACUGCUGUUUGUUACACUCCUGAUGGUCAGGUAUAUGAUUCUCUUCACUUAACAAUCAUAUACUUGGAAUCGACCACCUCGGAUUGAUAUCUAUAUGCUCUUUGGUACGUAGGCUGCAUUUGUUGGUUCACAUAAAGGGAAUUGUCGGCUUUACAGUGCAGAAGGUAUAUUGGCUAAGAACUUAAUCUAUUCUGUGACUAUGUUUAGUUAUUAACCUUAUACUCUUCAUAAAUUUUCUUAUAUUAAUUGAUCAGAUUGCAAGCUGGAGCAAACAAACCAUAUUGAUCUGCAAAACAAAAAGAAAGCUCAAGCUAAAAAGAUCACAGCUUUCCAGGUUUCACCUUCUUUUCUUUUAGACGUUUCGUUUGUUGGCUUUCAUCAGAGAGGAUUAGUACUUACCUUUGAGUUUGCAUGAACAGUUUUCGCCGAUUAAUCCGUCAGAAGUGCUUGUAACGUCUGCUGAUUCACGCAUUCGGGUUCUUGACGGUACUGAACUUGUUCAAAAAUUCAGAGGUAUGUAGCUGAAACAACUCAUUUGUCUCUCUGCCUUUGAUCUCUCACAGUAAAUAUUUUAAAAAUCUUGUAUUGUUCAAUAAACCUGCAGGUUUCAAAAACACAUGUAGCCAAAUGACAGCAUCUUACACACUAGAUGCCAAACACAUUGUCUGCGCAAGCGAAGAUUCACAGGUUUACAUGUGGAAACACGAGGAGCCACGAGUAGGACUAACCGGUAGAAAAACCAUCGCCAUGUGUACUUCUUUCGAAACCUUCCCUUGCAAAGACGUCUCCGUGGCAAUACCUUGGCAUGGCGUUGUUAAAGGAGAACCACCACCCGCACAAACCCAACCGAAGAAAAACCCGAAGAAACCCUCAACCACUACUACACAAGAAAACGCAACCGCAGGUAAAAAAUCCGGCCUCCCACCGUUACCUAAGAAAAACAACGACAACACGGAGAGUGUAGCAACAGAAGAACAUCAAGAAGAUGAACCCACGACACAAGUUCCGCAAAACGAAACAGAGAACAUUGCUGGAGAGACAAUAAAGCCAGGGGAUUCGCCUUCUAUAUCGAUCUCAUCUC